Molecule: ribosomal RNA, 1183 nt
Filed under: Leptocentrus albolineatus
Lineage: Eukaryota; Metazoa; Arthropoda; Insecta; Hemiptera; Membracidae
Description: 16S ribosomal RNA
Rfam family: Archaeal large subunit ribosomal RNA (bases 948-1106)
Source: RNAcentral
UUGAAUAAUCCUCCAAUUUUUUUUUUUUUUUUUUUUUUUUUAAUUUAAUUUUUUUAGUAUUUGUUAAAAAUGAUGUUUAUUAAGGUCUGUUAAGGUAAAGGUAUUUUUUUUUUAGAAUAAGUUUAUUGUACCUUUUGUAUCAGGGUUAAUUAAUUUUAAUAUUUAUAAUUUAUUUCCCGAAUUAAGAAUAUCUGAAUUUAUAAAUUUUUUAUGUUUCAUAAUGAUAAUGAAUAUAUUUUCAGUAGUUAAAAGUUAUUUCGUUUCUUAGUAUAUCUGGUUAAUUAAUAUUAAAUUCAAUUUUAGUUGAUAUCUUCAUCUUAUGAAAUAAGGGACAAUCUUUAUUUUUAUUUAAAAUAUUUAUUUAGAUUUUAUUUUUAAAGAUUUAUAUUUUUUAUUUAGUUAUUAACAUAUUAGUAAUUUUUUAUAUAAUUUUUUUAUAUUUAUUUUUUUAUUGAUUAUAUUUAUUUAAUUAUUUUAUAUUUUUAUUAAUGAUUAAAUUAGUAUAAUUUGCAUAUAUAUAUUUAUGAAUUCGGCAAUUAUUAUUUUCAAAUGUUUAUCAAAAACAUUUCUUUUAGCUAAUUAUUAAAAGUAUAAUCUGCUCAAUGAUUAAUUUUAAAUAGCUGCAGUAUUUUAACUGUACAAAGGUAGCAUAAUAAUUAGUCUUUUAAUUGAAGUCUAGUAUGAAUGAUUUAAUGAGGGAUAAUCUUUAUUAGUUUUAUUAUUAAAAAUUUAUUUAUAAGUGAAAAAGCUUUAUUUUAAUUAUUGGGACGAGAAGACCCUAUAGAACUUAAAUUUAUUUUUUUUAUUUAUUUAUUUGGUUUUAAUUAUUUAAUAUUUUAAUUAAAUUUUGAUUGGGGUGAUUAAUAAAUUUAACUUUAUUUUUAAACUUUCAUUUAUUUAUGAUUUUUUGAUCCUUUAUUUAGAUUGUAAGAAAAAGUUACCUUAGGGAUAACAGCGUAAUUUUAAUGGUAAGUUCUUAUUUAAAUUAUAGUUUGCGACCUCGAUGUUGAAUUAAGAUAAUUCUAAGGGGUAGUUUUUUUAGUGUUAAGUCUGUUCGACUUUUAAAUUCUUACAUGAUUUGAGUUCAAACCGGUGUGAGCCAGGUUGGUUUCUAUCUUGUAAUAUUUAAAUUAUUUUAGUACGAAAGGACCAUUUAGUUUGAUUUUAAUCAUAAUUUAUUAAU